UUAACUAUUUUAUUUUUUCUCAGACAAACAUGUACAAGAGUAUAUACACUCUGGCGGGCAUUGGAAAAGCCUUCCUAUACCCGCCAAAGCAACAGAGGUAUGAUAAUCAGGGUGGGAGAUGUACCCCGGAGGGCAAUUUCUCUCUAAUGAUCCUUCCGCAGGUUCACCUACGGAAA
Molecule: unclassified non-coding RNA, 176 nt
Filed under: uncultured fungus
Lineage: Eukaryota; Fungi
Description: sequence contains ITS1
Source: RNAcentral